Molecule: ribosomal RNA, 200 nt
Filed under: uncultured bacterium
Lineage: Bacteria
Description: partial 16S ribosomal RNA
Rfam family: Bacterial small subunit ribosomal RNA
Source: RNAcentral
AUUGAACGCUGGCGGCAGGCCUAACACAUGCAAGUCGAGCGAAUUUGGCUUCGGCCAGAUGAGCGGCGAACGGGUGAGUAACGCGUAGGAAUCUGCCUGGUAGUGGGGGACAACGUUCCGAAAGGAACGCUAAUACCGCAUACGCCCUACGGGGGAAAGUGGGGGAUCUUCGGACCUCACGCUAUCAGAGGAGCCUGCGU